RNAcentral lists this ribosomal RNA (253 nucleotides) under uncultured bacterium. Its description in RNAcentral is "partial 16S ribosomal RNA". It matches the Rfam family "Bacterial small subunit ribosomal RNA", at positions 524 to 776 of the family's 1533-position model. The record is from RNAcentral.
UACGGAGGGUGCAAGCGUUGUUCGGAAUUACUGGGCGUAAAGCGCGUGUAGGCGGUCUAGCAAGUCAGAUGUGAAAUCCCUUGGCUCAACCAAGGAAGGGCAUUUGAAACUGCUAGACUUGAGUACGGGAGGGGGAAGUGGAAUUCCCGGUGUAGAGGUGAAAUUCGUAGAUAUCGGGAGGAACACCGGUGGCGAAGGCGGCUUCCUGGACCGAUACUGACGCUGAGACGCGAAAGCGUGGGGAGCAAACAGG